CUUUGGUUGAGUAAAAUACUAAGUAUCCAUAUGUGCAUAGUAUCAUUGAAGUUUGCAUUUGCUGAAAAUAUUCAGGAGAAGAAGAAGAAGUUCUAUUAUGGAUGAAGACUAGACAUUGCUGAAAAUGUUGAGGAUAUUCAGAUGGUGUUUAACAUACUUCUGAUCACUGAUGAGUGACUAUUUAUGAAUGUAUGCCUCAAUGCAAGUGAUAAGAGUCUGAGAUACAGAAAUCUGGGGAGGCAUGCUAUUGAUCAAAAUAUAAUAUACUACGCACCAUAAUUCAAAUCAAUGAUGAGAAACUGUUUAUGAAUGGAUGCCUCAAUGCAAGUGAUCUGAGUCUAAGAUACAGAAAUCUGGGGAGGCAUGCUAUUGAUCAAAAUAUAAUAUACUACGCACCAUAAUUCAAAUCAAUGAUGAGAGACUAUUUAUGAAUGGAUGCCUCAAUGCAAGUGAUCUGAGUCUAAGAUACAGAAAUCUGGG
Long non-coding RNA from Harmonia axyridis, 480 nucleotides. RefSeq lists it as uncharacterized. The transcript has 4 exons. Lineage: Eukaryota; Metazoa; Arthropoda; Insecta; Coleoptera; Coccinellidae. The record is from RefSeq and is a predicted model, not a curated record.